This 224-nucleotide unclassified non-coding RNA is filed under the name Hevea brasiliensis (rubber tree). Lineage: Eukaryota; Viridiplantae; Streptophyta; Magnoliopsida; Malpighiales; Euphorbiaceae. The record is from RNAcentral.
GGACACAGUUGUCUGAAGAGGCAGGGCGCUUUCGAUUUCUUUAGUUUCUUUGGCUGCUGCAGUCCUUUCAGCGACCGCCUUGGACAUUCCGAACAUCUUCUGGAUGGUUUUCUUAAAGCAGGUGGUGUGUUCGUCCAUAGAAGCAUGGAUGAACUCGUCGAUGUGAUCCUUUACAUCUUCAAUGAAAGUAGCAGAUUCUGAUUUCUUCUUACGGCACGAGGAUA